RNAcentral lists this ribosomal RNA (394 nucleotides) under uncultured bacterium. Its description in RNAcentral is "partial 16S ribosomal RNA". It matches the Rfam family "Bacterial small subunit ribosomal RNA", at positions 523 to 918 of the family's 1533-position model. The record is from RNAcentral.
AUACGUAGGGGGCUAGCGUUAUCCGGAAUUACUGGGCGUAAAGGGUGCGUAGGUGGUUUCUUAAGUCAGAAGUGAAAGGCUACGGCUCAACCGUAGUAAGCUUUUGAAACUAAGAGACUUGAGUGCAGGAGAGGAGAGUAGAAUUCCUAGUGUAGCGGUGAAAUGCGUAGAUAUUAGGAGGAAUACCAGUUGCGAAGGUGGCUCUCUGGACUGUAACUGACACUGAGGCACGAAAGCGUGGGGAGCAAACAGGAUUAGAUACCCUGGUAGUCCACGCCGUAAACGAUGAGUACUAGCUGUCGGGGGUUACCCCCCUCGGUGGCGCAGCUAACGCAUUAAGUACUCCGCCUGGGAAGUACGCUCGCAAGAGUGAAACUCAAAUGAAUUGACGGGG